Long non-coding RNA from Musa acuminata AAA Group (dessert banana), 1771 nucleotides. RefSeq lists it as uncharacterized. The record is from RefSeq and is a predicted model, not a curated record. NCBI's taxonomy places the organism in Eukaryota, Viridiplantae, Streptophyta, Magnoliopsida, Zingiberales, Musaceae. The transcript has 6 exons.
GCCAAGCACUCAGCAAGAAACAAUACCAGUCAGUGCUCACUCGUGUGAUACCAUGCAGUGUUGAUCUGCAAAAGGCGACGUGAUCAUGCAACGCUUCCUUGGGCUUUACGGAGACUGGAACCUUCGUGGACGCAUGUACUCAUUGCACUUUCCGGCAUGAAGCAAGGAGAAGCGGAGGUGGGCAGCGUGGGGCAUGACAUUCGCCGCGGGACCCACGCCGGGACACCCCGCCGACCUCUCUCUCUCUCUCUCCGUGUCACGGUGAUCGGUCCGUGCCGCGACCUCUUCUUCCUUUGAUCCCUCAAUACACUGUCGUCGUCGUCGUCGUCGCCGUGGUUUGCGCUGGAAACGGCAAGGGUUUUAUUGCUCGGGAAGAAGCCGUUUUGAUCUGUUCACGAGUGGUUGUACGUGCCACGAGUGUGGGUCCCACCUGCCGUUUUGGACGAGAGCCGAAUUGAUCGAGCUGAGAUCGGGUCGAGCUUGAUUCAGUUACCAGAUGUCUCAAGAAAGGGUGAGAGGUGCCGGGGGCGACCGCGGACGAUGAGGACGUUUCCGGCGAGUAGGGCUUCCAGGAGCGCGAGGAGGAUGGGUGGAGUGCUGGUGGGAGCAGCGGAAUGAACGGAUCCAAGUUCCUUUUGGAGUUCAAGUUCGUGCAAAGAGUCCACAAGGGAAUAUGCGAGGAUACAUCAACUCAAAGAAGUAAUAGCUCUCAUAUAAGCAACAGGGAAGCCAUUUGUUUAGAGAAUCAGGAAAUAAAGGGGAUGAUGAGGGACCUCAUCACUACCUUAAUAUAAAAUGCUGGUCAUUCUUUGGGCUCACAAAAUCUGUGUCUCCUCUGCAAACAUCCAGCUAAACCACGUAAAUGCAGCAGCAUGUGGAUUUCCAGCUCCGCGUUUGAUCCUGACAUGUAUCCUCAUCAAACCUUCAAGAAGUUGAUUAAACUUGAUGCCAACUACUACAAACAUAUGAGAAUGUGAUCGAUGAUGCUAGGAUUUGACAGAGAAGGGAGCAUGCAGAUUCCGUUCCACGUGAAGUGGGUCCUGAAUGGAAUCCAUCGGAGUGGUUGAUUGAGAUGGAGGAGUUAUUAGAGACCUUCAAACAAGGUUCAAUAAGUUUUCCUCGUCUUCGUCCUGGUGAAGCCCACCACUUCUUCCGAGAGGAAAACACCAAACCAUGUCUCGAUCAAGAUGGGUAAGUUGAGCCACACAGCCAGUGAAAGGACAUGAAUGCUAUUUUGGUUGGGUGCAAUUAGCAUGACCAUGGACGGUUGAUAAGGGGUGUUGAAGCUGUUGCUGCUGAGCCAUUGCACCAUGUGAAUUCCAUUGCACAAAAGGGACGGAAACUCGCUGUCAAAUCUCAUCAAUUUAAGAAUGGUGACAUGUGGGUGGAGGAUGGGAAGAUUCUGGAAACCACAAGGGACAGAAGUCAGUGGAGAUGUGCACUGUGGAUAACGUUGUCUCUGGGUUCUCACACAAUUGAUUGUGCUUUGCUUUCUCCAAAAGCCAAACAGUGCUUCAGAAGUCAAAGGUGAAAGUCAUACAGUAACUCCACUGUCAUAUAGCUUGUCUUUUGAUAUAUAUGCUUGUAUGGUUUGUUUAAGAAUGAUAUUCUCUUCUUUUUCUUCGGUACUCUACCAUGAGUUUCUGGUCUAUACAGGUUUAUUUUAUUAAUCUACUUGUUUUCUAACAUGGAAAAUUAAUUACCAACUGGAAACUGUUAUUAGGCUGAAAGUUUGAUUCUCCUUGUGAAGAAGAAUUGGAAAGUGCUAUUG